UGAGCCAGAGGGAGGCAUUUGGAAUUCCUGGAUCCGAUAAAGACGCGCAUAUCACGCAGCAGUUGUCAAAUCUAUAUGUACUUUACAUACGUUAUAUUUAUAAAGAAUGGGUUAUUUGAAUACGUUUUAUCCAGGAGAUAGUUAUGGAAACUAGUAUAGGACAGGCCAUGAAUCCGGCACACACAGAAGAGAGCGCGGUUUUCACGCAACUAAAACCUGUGCGGCUGUCUGGAGCGGACGGCGCAGAUGACUCGUCCGUUUUUGAAGAAGUGAAACCCCCGACCCUGUUGGAGAUGGAAAAGUACCUCCCCCAGACCACAUGCAGUCUCCUCCAUCCUCCAUCCAUGGCCCAAACAGACAAGAACUGCGGAGAGAGCGCCUCAUUGGUAGACAAGUACUUCUCAGAGGAGAAGCACAACACAGCUCCCUACAACAUCAACCUCAUCCUCCCCAAAACCACCCACCUCUGCACCGGCCUGAACCGGCCCAACAAGCCCCAGCAGCACCACCAGACCCAUCUCCUCCAGCACAUCAAGACAGAGCCUCGGUUGGACGUCCCAGCUUCCUGCUCCAUCCAGACCCUGCCUGACUUCUUGUCUGUCUUCAGCAUUCCCCAGACCGUCAACACUAUGUUUAUCAAACCCGAUAUGGCCACCAGCGGACACCCAGUUUCAGAUACCGAGCUGCAUAUUGGCCCCCAACAACCGCAGGUCUACCAGAUGCCCAUCCCCGUCAGUGGAGCUGACCUCACAAUGACACUCUCCCGCAUCAGCCAAUCAGGGACCAGCGGAGCCGGCAAUGGUAGAACCAUGCUCAACCUGAACAGUGUCUCCUUGACAACGGUGGGUCAUGGCGGUGGUGACUCGUUGUUUGCAAUGCCGGAGCAUUUCUACCACCACCACGCCAAGGUGUCGCCCCAGUCACAGCCCCACAGUCUACCUCCCUCACCCCCCAACUCGCAGCCGGGUAGUCCUGAGAACCAGGCUGAGCUGCUGACCACUCCACCGCCCUUCCAGGCCUCUAGCAGACUGGGGUUAAAGGUCACCCAGAUGUCCCACCACUCCAUGCUUAUGGCCCACGGACAAUGGUUGCUGACAGGACCCAGGUACAACCGACGGAACAACCCUGAGCUCGAGAAGAGACGGAUCCACUUCUGUGACGGCUGCUCCAAGGUUUACACAAAGAGUUCUCACUUGAAGGCACACCAAAGGACACACACAGAAUACUGCCUCGGCAAAAGAUAAGGACAUCUCCCAGCCAGUCGAUGAACAAGGACACCUAAUCCGCCAACACCACAUCCACCACCAUCUCGACGCCACCCAAGAGGAUUCACCUCCAACCAGCAGAGGGCCUUCUACCACAAGCCAUCCCAGCGAGCCAGUCCCCCAGACUACCCAGCAGGCCACCCAGGUCAGUGAUUCCAUGGCUUCCUACUACAGUGCUCCCUCUAUUUCGCUCAUCAGAUGGCAGCCCCCACCACCGCGAGGUCCAAGGUUGCCACGGUCAUUUCCCUACUGACCGGGCGGGCGCUGGAGUGGACUACGGCUGCCUGGGAGAGAGGAGAGGAAGAUCUGGGUUCUUACGAGGGAUUCAUAGCUAUGUUCAGGGUGUUUUUUUUGACCAUCCACCAGAGGGCAGAGCGGAAGGUGAGAAACCAUUCCAACUCCGGCAGGGUGCCCAGACCGCUGCAGAGUACACCUUCCGGACCGUGGCAGCCUUCAACGGAUGGAAUGAAUAGGGUGUACUCCACACCCUAUUCUCAAGAGGACUGCACGAGGAGGUCCAGACAUAGUUGGCGUGAGACACCUGGGGCUGUGUCCCUAUUGAGGCCAGGAGGGGCACUGGCUCCAGCAGUGUCCGGUGCGUCCCAACCCGGAGUCCACUGGGACAGAGGGACUUCCCCUUGAUCAUCCAUCUCCCAGGGUCGGCGUGAGUGUUCCUUCAUCACAUUUUACACCAUACCCUUCAUGGUUUCCAUUUCGCUGGCUGUCUCUCAGGUGUUGUCUCUAAAGCUCUAGUGGACUCUGGUGUCGCUGGGAAUUUUAUCAACCAGGCCCUCAUCUCCUUCCUGAACAUCACCGCGUACCUGCUCUCCUCUCCUUUUCCGGCCCAAGCCCUUGAUAAACAACCAUUGGAAUCCGGCACUAUCACGCACAUCACAGCACCACUCACCCUUACCGUGGGACCCAUGCACCAAGAAAGCCUUCCAUUCCUCAUCCUCGGCCUUCCGUGGCUCCAACGUCAUGACCCCACCAUCUCCUGGUCGAGGAUGAAAAUCACUGCCUGGGCACCUGAAUGUCCCUUACCUUGCGGUUCCACAUCGAUUGAGAGUUAUGUGAGUGACCUCCAGCCCAUCAAUCCGUCCUCCCAUAUUGUUGGCCCUGUGUUUUGGGACAUAGAUGUGGACAUCCACCAGGCUCUGGAGAGUGAACCUGCGCCUGCUACCUGCCCUCCUGAGCACAUCUACGUCCCCACGGAGAGGAAUCUACAGGACGAAGCAGGUCUGGCUGGAAACAUUGAGGACUCAUAAUACAAGAAACUAAACCAAGGGACCUGAAGAAUUGUCAAUACUGUGGACAGAGAAGAAUUUAUGCAGCAACAUUUGGCUUCAAUUGAAUGGUGAGAUUUAUACGUUUACAUGUUGAAAUGGUAUGUUUUAGUUUGUGUUUUUUGUGUGGGACAUUUAGACACCACUUUUUGACAGAUAAUGAAUGCAAUGUACAUCCUCACCAGACAUUCCUGCCGGAUCAAGCCACGCUCCCUCCCUAUGUAGCUAAAUGGUCUCUUUCCAAAUGAACUCCACAGGGAGAUGGUGUCACUGUAGAAAUCUAAAAUACUCUAUUGUUUGCUUACGUCUGAGGUGGUAAAGGUUGCUUAUAUCACUGAAAAGUGUUACAUUGUAAUUAAUUGCUGAGAAUGUCCAAAAUCCAACAGAGUAUAUUCAUUUAAUUUCACCGCUGCUCUUUCACUGUAAAUGUCCAUUAAUGUUAUUAACACUUUUAUUUGCAUUUAUUUGCACCAAAGAAAACAAUUGAUAGACAACAGUACAGAUAUCUUUUUUAAAUUUUUUUAAAUGAUGUGCAGGUGUGUUUGGAAGCCCAAGGGCUUACAUGAAAAACACACCAAAAAAAACAACAAUAUAUAAUACAUCAGUACAAAAUAAAAAAAAGGUUUGUUAAAACAUAACGAAACUUACUAAUUAUGCAUGUAUAAAUGAAUUGAACCGUAAUAUUUGUUUUGUUUAAAUGUGCGUGCCUGUGAGUGCUAGGCUAUAUGGAGAAGAUUACUGAGGAGUUUGGUUCAUCAGGCUGACCCCCAGUCUUCACUUGUAGUUAUUGAGGGAUAAUGAUGUUUUGGCAAUGUGAAAGAUAAGAAUUCCAGAGUAUGGUACCUCUAUAUCUGAUAGUCAGUUCUCUAUGUGAGGUUCGGCAGUUGGGAGGGUGAAGGUUAUCACAGUGUCUUGUAUUAUCUACACUGAAAAACCCAACAAGUUCUGUGAACUCAUUUUUUGGGGGGGGAAAACGAUCGCCUAAAAGAAACGUCUGUUAAACUGAAAAGUUAAAAGUAAGGUCACACCUAAUUAUUUUUGAAUGACUU
This is an RNA transcript of Oncorhynchus kisutch (coho salmon), 3597 nucleotides long. It is a transcript of the gene named Krueppel-like factor 5, with no coding region annotated. The record is from RefSeq and is a predicted model, not a curated record. NCBI's taxonomy places the organism in Eukaryota, Metazoa, Chordata, Actinopteri, Salmoniformes, Salmonidae. The transcript has 5 exons.